Long non-coding RNA from Astyanax mexicanus (Mexican tetra), 794 nucleotides. RefSeq lists it as uncharacterized. The record is from RefSeq and is a predicted model, not a curated record. The transcript is spliced from 3 exons. Lineage: Eukaryota; Metazoa; Chordata; Actinopteri; Characiformes; Acestrorhamphidae.
UAUAUAUGCAUAUAUUUUGUGUUAAAUGUAUAUUUUAUAUAUGAAUGUGUCUAUAUAACUGUAUAUGUACGGCUAUAUUUUAUAUUCUUUUCUUUUAUGUUCAAUUCAUAUUAUUGAUACCAGUAAUUAAUAUUAAAAACACGAGACAGAGACUAUAAAAGUAAGAAACUGCUGUUGUUUAAUAAAAAGAGACUUGAGAAGCUGCUGAACAGAGAAGCCACGUUUCCUCGUGUCUCAUCCUUUUCACCCUGUUUACAGAGCUGUAUUACCAAUCAAGCAUUUAUUGGAUCAGCUGGGAUUUCAGUUUUGGUAACCUGCAAGUGUGCAGGUCCAGAUCUACAGGCCCAGCUGCAACAUCUGUGUGCGAAUGCGCCACAGGAUGCCAUACAGAACCUGCAUGCCUCUAAGCUCAACUAUAUCUUCAAGCUAGAAACAGACCAACAGAGGAUACUGAACUUCACAACAAAACUCACUUACUGGACUUCCCUGACUCUGCUGAUUCCGUGGUGCUACGCUGUUCGCGCUCGCUGAGCUUCUGAUUGCUCACACCUGGACUGCCUUGUAUAAAUCCCCCCCCUCCCUGUUGUCUUUGUUACCUCAGUUUCUUUUUUAUUAAGUGUUUCUUUUAAAUGUUUUUCAUGUUUCUGACACCUUUUUGUAUUUUUUGACUACUCUUUUGCCUUGCCCUUCCUAUUGAUUGUUUGCUGUUUCCGAUCUUAUUUUUGUUUUUAGACUACUUUUACCUUGCUCUCUGCCUUUUGGAUUUAAUAAUUUGUUAAUAAAUUGUGCGUUUG